This is a long non-coding RNA of Poecilia reticulata (guppy), 394 nucleotides long. RefSeq lists it as uncharacterized. NCBI's taxonomy places the organism in Eukaryota, Metazoa, Chordata, Actinopteri, Cyprinodontiformes, Poeciliidae. The record is from RefSeq and is a predicted model, not a curated record.
AUUUCUCAAACAUGCAUGAAAGGAUCAAAGAAACACUCCAGGGUGCCGGUCUGUGAGGUCUUCAGGCUACUGCUCUCUUUUCUCGUGACUUCCUCCUCUUCUAGUGAGACUCUUCAGUGAUGUCCACAUUCACUCUGUGACGCUAAACGAACAAACCACCUGUAAACAGGAAGGCGAGGUAAACCGAGGCUGAGAGGAAACGGAGCGGCUGCUGUGAGAGGCAGACACUCUGAGGAGGACUGAUGGCGAAUCAGCCUCGGUUAGGUUCACUCCGCUCGGCCCGGUUCGGCCAUCAGCGGGAGGAAGAGAACGAUUUGAUUUACACCGCCCCCUAACGGAGGACCGGCUUUUCUUGACGACGACGAGGUCUGAGUAUGAAGAUUGUAAUUAAAAG